This is a transfer RNA of Pochonia chlamydosporia 170, 97 nucleotides long. It matches the Rfam family "tRNA". From Rfam's summary of the family: Transfer RNA (tRNA) molecules are approximately 80 nucleotides in length. Their secondary structure includes four short double-helical elements and three loops (D, anti-codon, and T loops). Lineage: Eukaryota; Fungi; Ascomycota; Sordariomycetes; Hypocreales; Clavicipitaceae. The record is from Rfam.
GGCCGGGUAGCUCAAUGGCAGAGCGUCUGACUACACAAGCAUCAUUAUAGUAUUCUUAGUAGUAAGGAGGAAGUAGGUUCGAUUCCUACCCCGGUCA